This 253-nucleotide ribosomal RNA is filed under the name uncultured bacterium. RNAcentral's name for it is "partial 16S ribosomal RNA". It matches the Rfam family "Bacterial small subunit ribosomal RNA", at positions 524 to 776 of the family's 1533-position model. The record is from RNAcentral.
UACAGAGGUGGCAAGCGUUGUUCGGAAUUACUGGGCGUAAAGGGCGCGUAGGCGGCCAUCUAAGUCAGACGUGAAAUCCCCCGGCUUAACCUGGGAACUGCGUCUGAUACUGGACGGCUUGAGUAUGGGAGAGGGAUGUAGAAUUCCAGGUGUAGCGGUGAAAUGCGUAGAUAUCAGGAGGAACACCGAUGGCGAAGGCAGCUUGCUGGGACGGUACUGACGCUGAGACGCGAAAGCGUGGGGAGCAAACAGG